RNAcentral lists this ribosomal RNA (390 nucleotides) under uncultured bacterium. Its description in RNAcentral is "bacterial SSU rRNA". It matches the Rfam family "Bacterial small subunit ribosomal RNA", at positions 28 to 429 of the family's 1533-position model. The record is from RNAcentral.
GAUUAACGCUGGCGGCGUGCCUAACACAUGCAAGUCGAACGAGGUAGCAAUACCUAGUGGCAGACGGGUGAGUAACGCGUGGUCAACCUACCGUUGAGUGGGGGAUAACUAGCCGAAAGGUUAGCUAAUACCGCAUACGUCUCCGAGUGGCAUCACUUGGCGAUAAAAGGAAGCAAUCCGCUCGAUGACGGGACCGCGUCCCAUUAGCUAGAUGGUGGGGUAACGGCCUACCAUGGCACCGAUGGGUAGCUGGUUUGAGAGAGCGACCAGCCACACUGGGACUGAGAAACGGCCCAGACUCCUACGGGAGGCAGCAGUGAGGAAUUUUCCGCAAUGGGCGCAAGCCUGACGGAGCGACGCCGCGUGUGGGAAGAAGGCCUCGGUCGUAAC